RNAcentral lists this ribosomal RNA (253 nucleotides) under uncultured bacterium. RNAcentral describes it as "partial 16S ribosomal RNA". It matches the Rfam family "Bacterial small subunit ribosomal RNA", at positions 524 to 776 of the family's 1533-position model. The record is from RNAcentral.
UACGGGGGGGGCAAGCGUUGUUCGGAAUUACUGGGCGUAAAGGGCUCGUAGGCGGCCAACUAAGUCAGACGUGAAAUCCCUCGGCUUAACCGGGGAACUGCAUCUGAUACUGGAUGGCUUGAGAUUGGGAGAGGGAUGCGGAAUUCCCGGUGUAGAGGUGAAAUUCGUAGAUAUCGGGAGGAACACCGGUGGCGAAGGCGGCGACCUGGGUAGAUACUGACGCUGAGGCGCGAAAGCGUGGGGAGCAAACAGG